RNAcentral lists this non-coding RNA (24 nucleotides) under Arabidopsis thaliana (thale cress). The record is from RNAcentral. Lineage: Eukaryota; Viridiplantae; Streptophyta; Magnoliopsida; Brassicales; Brassicaceae.
UCCAAGGGGAAGCCCCAAGAGGAG